AUUGAACGCUGGCGGCAUGCCUUACACAUGCAAGUCGAACGGUAACAGGUCUUCGGAUGCUGACGAGUGGCGAACGGGUGAGUAAUACAUCGGAACGUGCCUAGUAGUGGGGGAUAACUACUCGAAAGAGUGGCUAAUACCGCAUGAGAUCUACGGAUGAAAGCAGGGGAUCGCAAGACCUUGUGCUACUAGAGCGGCCGAUGGCAGGUUAGGUAGUUGGUGGGAUAAAAGCUUACCAAGCCGACGAUCUGUAGCUGGUCUGAGAGGACGAUCAGCCACACUGGGACUGAGACACGGCCCAGACUCCUACGGGAGGCAGCAGUGGGGAAUUUUGGACAAUGGGCGCAGGCCUGAUCCAGCAAUGCCGCGUGCAGGAUGAAGGCCUUCGGGUUGUAAACUGCUUUUGUACGGAACGAAAAGCCCCGGGUUAAUACCCUGGGGUCAUGACGGUACCGUAAGAAUAAGCACCGGCUAACUAUGUGCCAGCCGCCGCAGUAA
RNAcentral lists this ribosomal RNA (498 nucleotides) under uncultured bacterium. Its description in RNAcentral is "partial 16S ribosomal RNA". It matches the Rfam family "Bacterial small subunit ribosomal RNA", at positions 30 to 523 of the family's 1533-position model. The record is from RNAcentral.